Long non-coding RNA from Eriocheir sinensis (Chinese mitten crab), 1206 nucleotides. RefSeq lists it as uncharacterized. Lineage: Eukaryota; Metazoa; Arthropoda; Malacostraca; Decapoda; Varunidae. The transcript is spliced from 4 exons. The record is from RefSeq and is a predicted model, not a curated record.
GGCUGCUCCAAGACAACCGCCACGGUAGAAUAAUCGGUGCAAGUUGUUCUGUCUAUCGCGUAUUCCAACCGCUCUUGCCGAGGACACCCAGCGACGGGCGGUCGGACCAACAUCACCUCUCGGUGUGGAGCAACCUCAGCAUGACUCAAUCCCCGACGUCUCGCCGCAGCUUUCAUUUUCUUGGAGUGCAGGAAGGCGGGAAUGAGGAGUGUUUGUCAGGGUUCAAACCAAGGUACAGAGUUAUUCCUCGUUUGUUGGAGGAUCAUCGCCACGUCCAAGCGAGGCAAGGGAGUGCAGGAGGAUCAGCGAUUCUGCGUCAGUGUAGUCUAGCAGUGGUCCAGCUAGACACAGGCAGGGGGAGGGACUGAGGAGAGCACGGUGGAGGAAAAUACUCGUCCUGAAGGAAUUUGUGUGGGAAUGCAGAGAGCUGGGCUGAAAGGAAGACCGCACAAGGUACCUCGACAGCAAUCAGAUCUCAGACACAUGCUCAAGAGGUAAUGCGACGGAGAUGUGCACCGCAGCCACACGGAGCUAUGGGUGUAUGCCCCCAACUUUACCUUUCUUCAGGGGAACUGGGAUGGCUCAGCUGUCAUCCUGCUAUAUACAGGCCACAGAUAGAAGAUAUGGUGUGGGAUCCAUGGCUCAGCCCCACCAGGAACAGACUGCCAGUCCUUUUCCAGUCAUAGUUGGGGUUGGUGCCAACGCCCCUGACGUGCUCCAGCUGCUGCUGUAUGCCAUCCCCACUGGCCAGUACGCCUCUGUAGCUCUCAGUGUUGGUCACCCACACGUAGCAGCCAAACAUGCCUGACCAUAGGCGUCUGGCUCCUAUCAACCUAAUUCCUGUAAAUACUUUGAAUCAAUACUAAGCAUGGAGAAAAGAUGAGACUAACGUUAAGCCUGUUUCCUACAACUAGAUAAAUACAGAAAAGCUUUACUAUUGGACGGUUGCAUCCCAUACAAAAUGUUCGAGUAACGAAUUGUAAAAAAUAGAUUGGUUUUCCGACAAUUGUUGAACAAAAUCUAUUUGCUCCAUUUCUACUCAUUAGGUUUGGAACUUGCCUCGCGUCCAAGAAGUCGUGAGAUACAUGUAAGGUCACGGCGGCUUCUCAGUGUAACAGGUAGCGGUCUUUUCUAACCUUAGCAGAGCUUUAUGAUCUUAGUUAUCCAGCUCAGGGAGAUAAUUAAAAUAAAGAAGUAUCUUCCAGU